CUACGGGAGGCAGCAGUCGAGGAAAUUUUACAAUGCUCGAAAGAGUGAUAAAAUGAGUCGGAGUGUUUCUUUUGAAGAAACUUUUUUCUGCUGUAAAAAUGCAGAAGAAUAAGGACUGGGUAAGAUCGGUGCCAGCCGCCGCGGUAAUACCGGCGGUCCGAGUCGCAUCCACAUUUAUUGGGUCUAAAACAUUCGUAGCUUGUUUUAUAAGUCUCUUGUGAAAUCUUAUAUCUCAAAUAUAAGGCGUGCAAGAGAUACUAUAUUACUAGGGACCGGAAGACGCAAAGAGUAUGAUUAAGGUAGCGGUAAAAUGUGUUAAUCUUAAUCAGACUAACAAUAGCGAAGGCACUUUGCGAGUACGGAUCUGACAGUGAGGGAUGAAGGCUAGGGGCGCAAAAGGGAUUAGAUACCCCCGUAGUC
This 420-nucleotide ribosomal RNA is filed under the name uncultured archaeon. Its description in RNAcentral is "partial 16S ribosomal RNA". It matches the Rfam family "Archaeal small subunit ribosomal RNA", at positions 323 to 746 of the family's 1478-position model. The record is from RNAcentral.